Molecule: long non-coding RNA, 485 nt
Organism: Trachemys scripta elegans
Lineage: Eukaryota; Metazoa; Chordata; Testudines; Emydidae
Exons: 3
Source: RefSeq, a predicted model, not a curated record
GAUAGAAGCACAAGGAUCACUGUCUCUGGGGUGAAACACAAAUAAUGUUUAACAGUGAAAGCAGUGAACAGGAGUUUUGCGAUGGAGUUCUUCAGGUAAAGGAAGAGUGACUAUGUGACCCUUGGGACUACAUCUCCGAUGAUGCACCAGAGGUGAGGAAGGCAGCUAAAUCAUGGAAGUACCUGGCCAUUGUGAAGCAUGGCAGACAUGGUCUGGUUGAGGGGCCUGACUCAUGAGGAAAUCAAUCUACAACUCCCAUAAGGAAAAAAUCACCACCACAACAUGAAGAAAAAGAUCUGCUUAUCAAAGGAUAUGCCAUCAAAGGGGAAAGUCACCAAUAUGCCAUUGCUUGAAAAUCUGCCAAUACUCUUUGAGGAAAGAGAUAAAAGGAUGCUAAGUGGAGAAAAAUGUCAGAGAAAUUAUUUUUAACAUGUGACCAUUGCCAAGUUUCACUUCAAAAACAGGUCUGAGUUGAGAAGCAUCCC